GGGCGCAAGCCUGAUCCAGCCAUACCGCGUGGGUGAAGAAGGCCUUCGGGUUGUAAAGCCCUUUUGUUGGGAAAGAAAUCCAUCUGGCUAAUACCCGGGUGGGAUGACGGUACCCAAAGAAUAAGCACCGGCUAACUUCGUGCCAGCAGCCGCGGUAAUACGAAGGGUGCAAGCGUUACUCGGAAUUACUGGGCGUAAAGCGUGCGUAGGUGGUCGUUUAAGUCCGUUGUGAAAGCCCUGGGCUCAACCUGGGAACUGCAGUGGAUACUGGGCGACUAGAAUGUGGUAGAGGGUAGCGGAAUUCCUGGUGUAGCAGUGAAAUGCGUAGAGAUCAGGAGGAACAUCCAUGGCGAAGGCAGCUACCUGGACCAACAUUGACACUGAGGCACGAAAGCGUGGGGAGCAAACAGGAUUAGAUACCCUGGUAGUCCACGCCCUAAACGAUGCGAAUCUGGAUGUUGGGUGCAAUUUGGCACGCAGUAUCGAAGCUAACGCGUUAAGUUCGCCGCCCUGGGG
This 516-nucleotide ribosomal RNA is filed under the name Stenotrophomonas sp. HCUBPB4. RNAcentral's name for it is "bacterial SSU rRNA". It matches the Rfam family "Bacterial small subunit ribosomal RNA", at positions 373 to 878 of the family's 1533-position model. Lineage: Bacteria; Pseudomonadati; Pseudomonadota; Gammaproteobacteria; Lysobacterales; Lysobacteraceae. The record is from RNAcentral.